AUACAGAGGGUGCGAGCGUUAAUCGGAAUUACUGGGCGUAAAGCGCGCGUAGGCGGCUUGGUCAGUCGGAUGUGAAAGCCCCGGGCUCAACCUGGGAAUGGCAUUCGAUACUGCCAGGCUAGAGUAUGGGAGAGGGAAGUGGAAUUUCCGGUGUAGCGGUGAAAUGCGUAGAUAUCGGAAGGAACACCAGUGGCGAAGGCGACUUCCUGGCCCAAUACUGACGCUGAGGUGCGAAAGCGUUGGGAGCGAACAGGAUUAGAAACCCUAGUAGUCC
RNAcentral lists this ribosomal RNA (274 nucleotides) under uncultured bacterium. Its description in RNAcentral is "partial 16S ribosomal RNA". It matches the Rfam family "Bacterial small subunit ribosomal RNA", at positions 523 to 796 of the family's 1533-position model. The record is from RNAcentral.